UGAGAUGUUGGGUUAAGUCCCGCAACGAGCGCAACCCUUGAUCUUAGUUGCCAGCAUUUCGGAUGGGCACUCUAAGGUGACUGCCGGUGACAAACCGGAGGAAGGUGGGGAUGACGUCAAAUCAUCAUGCCCCUUAUGACCUGGGCUACACACGUACUACAAUGGCCGGUACAACGGGCUGUGAAGCCGCGAGGUGGAACGAAUCCUAAAAAGCCGGUCUCAGUUCGGAUUGCAGGCUGCAACUCGCCUGCAUGAAGUCGGAAUUGCUAGUAAUCGCGGAUCAGCAUGCCGCGGUGAAUACGUUCCCGGGUCUUGUACACACCGCCCGUCACACCACGAGAGUUUAUAACACCCGAAGUCGGUGGGGUAACCGCAAGGA
This 379-nucleotide ribosomal RNA is filed under the name uncultured Paenibacillus sp. RNAcentral's name for it is "bacterial SSU rRNA". It matches the Rfam family "Bacterial small subunit ribosomal RNA", at positions 1068 to 1447 of the family's 1533-position model. Lineage: Bacteria; Bacillati; Bacillota; Bacilli; Caryophanales; Paenibacillaceae. The record is from RNAcentral.